RNAcentral lists this ribosomal RNA (562 nucleotides) under Salmonella enterica. Its description in RNAcentral is "partial 23S ribosomal RNA". It matches the Rfam family "Bacterial large subunit ribosomal RNA", at positions 1 to 589 of the family's 2925-position model. The record is from RNAcentral. Lineage: Bacteria; Pseudomonadati; Pseudomonadota; Gammaproteobacteria; Enterobacterales; Enterobacteriaceae.
GGGUUGUGAGGUUAAGCGACUAAGCGUACACGGUGGAUGCCCUGGCAGUCAGAGGCGAUGAAGGGCGUGCUAAUCUGCGAUAAGCGCCGGUAAGGUGAUAUGAACCGUUAUAACCGGCGAUACCCGAAUGGGGAAACCCAGUGUGAUUCGUCACACUAUCAUUAACUGAAUCCAUAGGUUAAUGAGGCGAACCGGGGGAACUGAAACAUCUAAGUACCCCGAGGAAAAGAAAUCAACCGAGAUUCCCCCAGUAGCGGCGAGCGAACGGGGAGGAGCCCAGAGCCUGAAUCAGCAUGUGUGUUAGUGGAAGCGUCUGGAAAGGCGCGCGAUACAGGGUGACAGCCCCGUACACAAAAGCGCAUGUGCUGUGAGCUCGAUGAGUAGGGCGGGACACGUGGUAUCCUGUCUGAAUAUGGGGGGACCAUCCUCCAAGGCUAAAUACUCCUGACUGACCGAUAGUGAACCAGUACCGUGAGGGAAAGGCGAAAAGAACCCCGGCGAGGGGAGUGAAAAAGAACCUGAAACCGUGUACGUACAAGCAGUGGGAGCCCCACCACUAAGC